AUUAUACUUUUAUUGUCUUCCGUAUUCAUAUUAGAUUUCAUUGCACAGUCAUUUGUAUUAAGUUGUACGUCCGAAUAAGUGCAUUAAUUAUAUUUUCUAAAAAAUUGUCAACAAAUCUGGAGAUUGUAGAGUGUCAUUAACUUUUCAGAAAGAGAUUAAAAAUGUGUGAUUAUAUUCACUGAAAACUAGGUAAGUAUUACAUUAUUUUUAAAUAAUGAUUUAUUAUGAUUUUUAAUAAUUUGUUCCAAUGCAAAAACAAUCAUCGAUUUUUGAACUGUUGUUAAUGAACACGUUCAUAAAGGCGAGAUAUUACUAUUGUAUAAAAUAUAAUCGAUGGUAUUAUUUACCUAUACAAAUAUUGACGUAUAAUUUUUAUUUGUACAUCUUGUAAGUUAUAAAACAAAAAUUAAUAACAAGUUAAAUAUGUAUUAUACCAAAAUAAAAAAAAAUAUAUAUGCAUUUGGUUAAAAUCAGUGAUUGAACAUAAAAUUUUUUUAUAAAAUACACUAAAAAUAAAUACCUAUAGAAAUAAUAAUAAAAAGACGUCCUCAGAUAAUGGAGACAGGUGUAGCCACUAUUAUAGGUAAUUUAAUGUAUAUCUGUAAGCAACACUAAACCAUUGUUAAACGAUUCUGAUCGCAUUUUAGUUGAUAUUGAUGCUUUGUUAACAAAAUGUAUGUUAUAUUAUGGUAAAAUAAUUAAACAGGCAUUUUGUAUUUUCUUUAAUAAUAUUUGUUUAAUGAUGUACCGAUUUUCCCGUUUUUCCAAGACUUUCACGACUUUUCCAAUUUAUUGGAAAAAUUAAAAAAUUAUCUCCCAAAAGUACCUUCCCAGUCAAACUUUCAGAAAAAGUAUUAUCAUUUUAAAUCGGAGCGAAAUUGCUGGUAGAAAAGUUGCACAUAGAAAAAAAGGCUAUAAUAUUUUUUUACUAAUACCUACAUUUCGUACAUUUUCUGUUUUUCCAAAAUUUUAUCCCGGUUUUUCCCAGAUAUUAUGAAAACCGCUUGAAAAAUCAAAAAAUGACCUCCCUAAAUUAUUAAGUUUACUUUCAUAAAAUAAGCUACACUUAAUACAUCGGAGCAAGAUUUCUGUUAGAAAAGUUUGCUCAACAAAUCGAGGGGUAUUUUUCGAUUAAAAUAGUCCAAGGGAGUGAUGGCUUGGGUCUCUACGUACUUCCAAAAUUGUUUUUGAAACACGGGUUCGAACUCGCGAACCCUAAAAUGUAAACAGGUAGACAAUAAUGAAACAGACAAUAUUUAGUUAUUUAACAUAACAUAUAAUAUAUGUAUAAUAUCGUAAAUUUAAAAAGCUAUAAUUUCGAAACUUAGUCAGUCCGCUUAAUUCUGACUUCACCAUCAUUCUUAAAUCGGCAAUACACAUAUGUUCCAAAAAAAAAAAAUUGAAAAAUUAGAUUUUUUCCAGAUAAUUUUUUACUCAACGAUUUGAUAUUAAAAUUCCUUUAUAAAAAAAAUACUACAUUAAAUUUAAAUUUUCUUUUUUUGACCACAAAGUAAGAUUCUUAAUGAACCUUCUGUUAAAUUUUUAAGCAUUUCUAUUAAGUCUAACAAUUUUACCAUAAUGUACAGAAUAAAAAUUACGUACAAAACUCGCAGAAUUAAAAUGUUUAUAAACAACUUAAAAAUGGAUUAAAUUUUUUGAAAAUUUUACCACGUCUAGAAAAGGCAAAUAUAAGUUUUCUAUUCAAAUUUAAUAAAACAACGAAUAUUUUUAAUUGAAUUACGACAAAUAACAAAAUUAAAAAAUAAUAAAAGCAUUAUUUUCGUAAAUUUCCUGUUUUUCAUGUUUUAUCCUGGUUUUUCCCAGAUAUUAUGAAAACCGCUUAUAAAAUUAAAAAAUAAUCUCACAUAAGUACCAUCAGGACAACAUUCCCUUUCAGAAAUAAUGCCACGCGUACAUAUCUGAAUAAGAUUUCUGGUAGAAUUUUUGUACACAGUAUAAAAAAAAAAAAGAAAAAAUGUAAACAUCUUAAUAAAAUCAAUACAUUCUUUGCUACACUCAGAAUCAAAAAUAUAUGUAGGUAUAAAGUAUAUGAGUACCUACAUGAAAAUGGAUUUUUGUAGAUACAUUCUAUUACUAAAUGUAUUGAUUUAUUUGAAGUUGGUGAAAUCGGGAAAGUAUUUAAUUGAAAAUGGUAAUCAUAGUUUCGUUUUUCUUGACAGAUUCAUAGUGUUUUAUUAAGUUCAAUGACUCCAUUAUCUUUAUCAUCUGUGAUUCUAUGAUGGACAUUUUUAUUUUUGAACUAAACAAACCUAUCUGUUUGGACCAAAGAGAGUCUAAGUUAAUUAGAUGAUUAUACAUUUAGCAUAUUCGAAGUGUUAAAGGCAUAUGUUACACCAUAGGUUGUAAAUAAUGUUGUAUGUUUAUUAGUUUUAUUCAUUGGAAUGACCAUUAUAAUACUGUCAAUUUUUAUUAAAGUCCAUUCGUUUGGUGAAUGUUACAGAAAAUGUUCUAAAGUACCUACUUAUAUUAAUUAAUAUAAAAUAGAAACGUAUUCCUUGGUUAUUUAAGGAUAACAUUAAAAUUCUGGAACUAUAUAACCAC
Molecule: long non-coding RNA, 2562 nt
Filed under: Cinara cedri
Lineage: Eukaryota; Metazoa; Arthropoda; Insecta; Hemiptera; Aphididae
Source: RNAcentral